GGAUUGGUAGUUUAAAAAAAACAUUUGGCUGUUAACUAAAAAUUAAGUAAUCUUUCAAUCUU
Molecule: transfer RNA, 62 nt
Filed under: Brachidontes exustus (scorched mussel)
Lineage: Eukaryota; Metazoa; Mollusca; Bivalvia; Mytilida; Mytilidae
Description: tRNA-Asn
Source: RNAcentral